This 507-nucleotide ribosomal RNA is filed under the name uncultured bacterium. RNAcentral's name for it is "partial 16S ribosomal RNA". It matches the Rfam family "Bacterial small subunit ribosomal RNA", at positions 28 to 507 of the family's 1533-position model. The record is from RNAcentral.
GACGAACGCUGGCGGCGUGCUUAACACAUGCCAGUCGAACGGGCCUUGUCCCCUUUUUUUUUGGGGGUGGGGUUAGUGGCGAACGGGUGAGUAACACGUGAGUAACCUGCCCCUCACUUCUGGAUAACCGCUUGAAAGGGUGGCUAAUACGGGGUGUUCUGGCCUGCUCGCAUGGGUGGGUUUGGAAAGAUUCGACCGGUUUGGUUGUUUUUGUGGGGGAUGGGCUCGCGGCCUAUCAGCUUGUUGGUGGGGUGAUGGCCUGCCAAGGCUUUGACGGGUAGCCGGCCUGAGAGGGUGGGCGGUCACACUGGGACUGAGACACGGCCCAGACUCCUACGGGAGGCAGCAGUGGGGAAUAUUGCACAAUGGGCGCAAGCCUGAUGCAGCGACGCCGCGUGAGGGAUGGAGGCCUUCGGGUUGUGAACCUCUUUCGCCAGUGAAGAAGGUCCUGCUCUUUGUGGUGGGGUUGACGGUAGCUGGGUUAAUGAAGCGCCGGCUAACUACGUG